Long non-coding RNA from Spodoptera frugiperda (fall armyworm), 1654 nucleotides. RefSeq lists it as uncharacterized. The record is from RefSeq and is a predicted model, not a curated record. The transcript is spliced from 2 exons. NCBI's taxonomy places the organism in Eukaryota, Metazoa, Arthropoda, Insecta, Lepidoptera, Noctuidae.
UGAACAAUGAAUGCCAUUUUUUUCUGAAAAGUUGUUUAAGUUUGCGAGGCUUUAGAUAACUUUGUUUCUAUAGAAUGAAACGUUGUUCUUUCUAACUAGUGUUAUGUUUGCUUAGCAAUAAAAAGUGGGGACAAAUAAUAAACUAAGUUACUCUUUGCAAUUUAUUAACUUUAUGCUUAUAAUAUCCUGUUAUUAAAUCAAAAUAAGAUUCAAAUGCCACAUCGAUUUUAUAUAAAUGGUAUUCAAAUUUUGUAAUAUUUUUAGCUAGUCUGCCUGCUGAUAUAAUUCAUCUAGUUGUGUCCUGUUUUUUAUCAUAUAAAUGCUUGCCUAUAGAUGUAUAUCUUUUUUGUGGUAAAAAAUAAAUAUUGAAUAAUAAUUGAUUUACAACGACAUCGUCGAUAACACGUCAGCCGUAUUUAAUUUUGGAUGAAACGUAUGAAAUCAUCACAAUGAAUAAAUUAAUUUAUUAAAAAUAUCCAUAUACCUAUACGAUUCUGUUUAGACCAGUGAACUUUUUUAAUAGGAAUUUAAUAUACUUUUAUAGUAGGAAUUGGUAAUUUGUUUAAUUUAUUCAUAAAAUGUCGUAAAUUCAACGAGUUUUACACUGACAAACAAAAAUGUCUUAAGAUAAGAUUGGGGCUUAUUAAUUAGAUAGACGUACAAAAAAAGAAAAUAGGUAUGUACUAUUGAAAAAUAGAUGGAUAGGUGUUAUUUGUGAAGCGAUAUACGAUGGAGGAUUGUGCAAUAGAAACGGGUCAAAGUCACUAAAAUGUGUUGACCAACCGGAACUUUGUUUUAUGGCUCGUCUGGUGCAGUGGAAGAAAGAGAACAUUCCGAUUGAACCUGUCGGAAUUAUCUGGUUUGACGUGCCAUCCGCAGACUCACUGCCGAGGUACCUAUGGCUCAUUUACAACUUACCAAUUUAUAUUAUUGAUUACUUCUACAUUGACCCUAUAUUGACGCACAGCUCGUACAUGAGUGGACAGCGCGACAGGCAAGCGAUAUUAUGCAUUUAUAAUUCGAUCGAUAUUAUGGGCCGACGACACCCAUCAUAGUAUCAUUCCAUAAUAUUUCCAUAAUUAACAUGUUUGAUGUAACAGAUUGUUUCUCAAAUUGUGAUCAUUUACACUUUCAGGGUCUAACUAAUGGAGUUAUGAGUUUAUAAAUUAAUUUUAAUAUUGUUAUGGAGGUUAUUGGAACUGAUUGAUGGUGUUAUGUAUAAAGAUUUACUGUUAGUAAGCGGCUUAGAAAUUAAUACUUCCAAGUUAGGAAAUAUUUUUUAAACAUUUUGUUACGCGAGGUUUCUAUACCCAUUUGUUUAUUUAAAACUGGUUUUAUUCAGGAAAGUUAUGAUCAUUCAGAUUCUGUGCGAGUAAAAAUCAAAGCAAGUAAGGAGUUUUAAUUUAAGGAUACACAUUUUUUGUGAAGUUAGAAAGUCUUUCUCCGAAAACAGGCAUUGAAAUUCCUACUAAAUUAUCUACAAUUAAGCAAUUGAAUUUUAAUAAUCCAUUAACUUAAAGAAAAACAAACGAUAUGAUGCUACAUAAACCUAAUUGCUCACAUCACUUUUAGUACAGUUUUGUGAUUUGGUCACAUAAAGCCUAGGCGUCAAGCGACCCUAGAUUUCUUGUUAACACCGAGAUUUUACUCGCAA